GAUUGAAACCCCUGUCAUGUCUGUACGGUAAAUAUUGAGCUGCAGCAGGCUGCCAGUUAUCUUAGCUUAGCAUAAAGACUGGAAGGAGAGAAACAGCUAGCUAAUACGUCAUAUCGCUUUCCCUGUUUUCCCAUACAAAAUCACAAGUUUAAAAUCAUAAUUUGUGAUUUUAUGGGAGGUUAUGUGCUGAGUAUUUUCAGUUUAAACAAACAAGGUACAACAUGUUAAUCAGUAAGCUUACAUUUUGUUACUUUUGUUAGUCCACUCUUUCCGAUCUAACUUCCUAAGCUAAGCUAACCGGCUGCUGUCAGUAGCUUGAUAUUGAAGCAACAGAUAUUAAAUUGGUAUCAAUAUUCUCAUUUAAUUCUCUGCAACAAAGUAAAAAAAGUGUAUUUCCCAAAAUGUCAAACUACUACUUUAAAUUUCGGUAUUUAUAAUUGUAAGUGUGUAAGAUUUCAAAACUUUAAGGAAUGCUAAUCUGGCACUGAAGUGAUUUUACACUUUCUAAUUCCAGCUUCUUCAUUGCAACGUGGCAAAACCCAAACCCAGUGUAGUCUUGUUAUUCUCACACAUUUAAACCCUUGUCUUCUUUCCUGUGAGCUGAUUAUAAUCAGAUUAGUGCUGAGUGGAGGAGGAAUGUAUGAAUGAGCAGACUCUAAUACUACAAGCAACUUCAGGAUCAUUGGAAAUGAUGACUUUACAGAAGUACACUCCACUGUCGCCCCACUGCAGCUCCCCAAUACGUAGAUCUGCUUCUGCACAGAGACCGAAAACAAGGUUAUAUACCAGUGCUCAGCCAGCGUCAUGGAGGCUCCCUGCGCCGAGGCCACAACUCGAACUGUGCGGCCGCUGUCGGAGCACUCCAGGUGGGACGUGGCGCCCAGCUCGGAGGACUUGACGCCCAGACUCUCGGACACGGUGAAGGACUCUCGUGUGCGGUCUCGACAGUAGGACUUGUACCACCACUGGACCACCGGGGUCUGAGUGGAGGCUGUUUGGUACUGACACGGGAGGACCACAGACUGGAAGAGCAUCGCAAACCGCCGCUUCUCCCGCACUGUGACAUGCACACCAUCGCACACACACACUGAUAAGAGAAGAGAGAAAAUGGAAAUAAAUCUUGUUAAAAAAUGAAGAGCUUUUGUCUCCUGGACAUGUGAUU
Perca flavescens (yellow perch) is the source of this 1162-nucleotide long non-coding RNA. RefSeq lists it as uncharacterized. The record is from RefSeq and is a predicted model, not a curated record. The transcript has 3 exons. NCBI's taxonomy places the organism in Eukaryota, Metazoa, Chordata, Actinopteri, Perciformes, Percidae.